RNAcentral lists this ribosomal RNA (492 nucleotides) under uncultured bacterium. RNAcentral's name for it is "partial 16S ribosomal RNA". It matches the Rfam family "Bacterial small subunit ribosomal RNA", at positions 29 to 507 of the family's 1533-position model. The record is from RNAcentral.
AGUGAACGCUGGCGGUAGGCCUAACACAUGCAAGUCGAACGGCAGCACAGUAAGAGCUUGCUCUUACGGGUGGCGAGUGGCGGACGGGUGAGGAAUACAUCGGAAUCUACUUUUUCGUGGGGGAUAACGUAGGGAAACUUACGCUAAUACCGCAUACGACCUACGGGUGAAAGCAGGGGAUCUUCGGACCUUGCGCGAUUGAAUGAGCCGAUGUCGGAUUAGCUAGUUGGCGGGGUAAAGGCCCACCAAGGCGACGAUCCGUAGCUGGUCUGAGAGGAUGAUCAGCCACACUGGAACUGAGACACGGCCCAGACUCCUACGGGAGGCAGCAGUGGGGAAUAUUGGACAAUGGGCGCAAGCCUGAUCCAGCCAUACCGCGUGGGUGAAGGAGGCCUUCGGGUUGUAAAGCCCUUUUGUUGGGAAAGAAAAGCAGCAGGUUAAUACCCCGCUGUUCUGACGGUACCCAAAGAAUAAGCACCGGCUAACUUCGUG